RNAcentral lists this ribosomal RNA (253 nucleotides) under uncultured bacterium. Its description in RNAcentral is "partial 16S ribosomal RNA". It matches the Rfam family "Bacterial small subunit ribosomal RNA", at positions 524 to 776 of the family's 1533-position model. The record is from RNAcentral.
UACGUAGGGGGCGAGCGUUGUCCGGAGUUACUGGGCGUAAAGCGCACGCAGGCGGUCUGCUCAGUUUGGAGUGACAGUUGGUGGCUUAACUGCCAAAGUGCUUCGAAAACUGACAGACUUGAGGGCUUCAGAGGGACACGGAAUUCCGGGUGGAGUGGUGAAAUGCGUAGAGAUCCGGAGGAACACCAAAGGCGAAGGCAGUGUCCUGGGGAGUACCUGACGCUCAGGUGCGAAAGCCAGGGGAGCGAACGGG